UACGUAGGGGGCUAGCGUUAUCCGGAAUUACUGGGCGUAAAGGGUGCGUAGGUGGUUUCUUAAGUUCAGAGGUGAAAGGCUAACGGCUCAACCGUAGUAAGCCUUUGAAACUGGGAAACUUGAGUACAGGAGAGGAGAGUGGAAUUCCUAGUGUAGCGGUGAAAUGCGUAGAUAUUAGGAGGAACACCAGUUGCGAAGGCGGCUCUCUGGACUGUAACUGACACUGAGGCACGAAAGCGUGGGGAGCAAACAGGAUUAGGAUACCCUGGUAGUCCCUGAGCGGG
This 284-nucleotide ribosomal RNA is filed under the name uncultured prokaryote. Its description in RNAcentral is "partial 16S ribosomal RNA". It matches the Rfam family "Bacterial small subunit ribosomal RNA", at positions 524 to 803 of the family's 1533-position model. The record is from RNAcentral.